Transfer RNA from Plicaturopsis crispa FD-325 SS-3, 108 nucleotides. It matches the Rfam family "tRNA". From Rfam's summary of the family: Transfer RNA (tRNA) molecules are approximately 80 nucleotides in length. Lineage: Eukaryota; Fungi; Basidiomycota; Agaricomycetes; Amylocorticiales; Amylocorticiaceae. The record is from Rfam.
GGCAACAUGGCCGAGUGGUCUAAGGCGUUCGACUCAAGUGCAUCCACUUAGCUGUACAGACGGCUUCGAAUCUCGAAAGAGGCGUGGGUUCGAGUCCCACUGUUGUCA